RNAcentral lists this ribosomal RNA (793 nucleotides) under Haladaptatus paucihalophilus. Its description in RNAcentral is "bacterial SSU rRNA". It matches the Rfam family "Archaeal small subunit ribosomal RNA", at positions 17 to 810 of the family's 1478-position model. The record is from RNAcentral. Lineage: Archaea; Methanobacteriati; Methanobacteriota; Halobacteria; Halobacteriales; Haladaptataceae.
CCGGAGGCCAUUGCUAUUGGAGUUCGAUUUAGCCAUGCUAGUUGCACGAGUUUAGACUCGUGGCGGAAAGCUCAGUAACACGUGGUCAAACUACCCUAUAGACCAGGAUAACCUCGGGAAACUGAGGCUAAUCCUAGAUAACGCUCCCCUGCUGGAAUUGCAGGGAGCCGGAAACGCUCCGGCGCUAUAGGAUGUGACUGCGGCCGAUUAGGUAGACGGUGGGGUAACGGCCCACCGUGCCGAUAAUCGGUACGGGUUGUGAGAGCAAGAGCCCGGAGAUGGAUUCUGAGACAAGAAUCCAGGCCCUACGGGGCGCAGCAGGCGCGAAAACUUUACACUGCACGACAGUGCGAUAAGGGAACUCCAAGUGCGAGGGCAUAACGUCCUCGCUUUUGUGUAUCGUAAGGUGGUACACGAAUAAGGGCUGGGCAAGACCGGUGCCAGCCGCCGCGGUAAUACCGGCAGCCCGAGUGAUGGCCAAUUUUAUUGGGCCUAAAGCGUCCGUAGCCGGCCAGACAGGUCCGUCGGGAAAUCUGCUCGCUCAACGAGCAGGCGUCCGACGGAAACCCGCUGGCUUGGGACCAGAAGACUCGAGGGGUACAUCUGGGGUAGGAGUGAAAUCCUGUAAUCCUAGACGGACCGCCGAUGGCGAAAGCACCUCGAGAGGAUGGAUCCGACGGUGAGGGACGAAAGCUAGGGUCACGAACCGGAUUAGAUACCCGGGUAGUCCUAGCUGUAAACGAUGCUCGCUAGGUGUGGCACAGGCUACGAGCCUGUGCUGUGCCGUAGGGAA